UACGGAGGGUGCAAACGUUGCUCGGAAUCAUUGGGCGUAAAGCGCACGUAGGCGGCCGUGUAAGUCGGAUGUGAAAGCCCUGGGCUCAACCCAGGAAGUGCAUUCGAAACUACUGAACUUGAGUAUGGAAGAGGGUCGCGGAAUUCCCGGUGUAGAGGUGAAAUUCGUAGAUAUCGGGAGGAACACCAGUGGCGAAGGCGGCGACCUGGGCCAAUACUGACGCUGAGGUGCGAAAGCGUGGGGAGCAAACAGG
RNAcentral lists this ribosomal RNA (253 nucleotides) under uncultured bacterium. RNAcentral's name for it is "partial 16S ribosomal RNA". It matches the Rfam family "Bacterial small subunit ribosomal RNA", at positions 524 to 776 of the family's 1533-position model. The record is from RNAcentral.